AACUAAAAUUAACGGUAUUUAUUUGUAUUUUAAAAUGUAUUUAAUCAUUUGUUGGUUAUGAGGAUCGUCUGGUGAAUUAUAGUUGUAUUUGUGAUAAAGUUACGCAUCUCUUUUGUAUUAAAAAUAGCCAAUAUUUGUUAGUGAAAAAUUUCAGAUGUCGUCAAAUAUUUUUUCUGAGGUACUAUGGAAUCGAAAUUUAGGCGAUGAAGAAGAGAGGGGACCAGAAAUUUCCAAUAUUUUAAACGGUUUGUCGGUGCCACUGCCUAGCAAAGUAACAUGUUUGAUACCCAACUGCCAAGCCAACGAAGAAUAGUAGAGUCUGCGUUUACAAUACCAAAAAAAAGUUUGGAUGAAGGCUCUUUAAUUGGAUCAUAUGAAUUCCUCACGCUGAAAGAUCCCAGAGUGUGAAAAAACUAUUACACUGUUAAAUAAAUAUUAUGACA
Long non-coding RNA from Eurytemora carolleeae, 443 nucleotides. RefSeq lists it as uncharacterized. The record is from RefSeq and is a predicted model, not a curated record. The transcript has 2 exons. Lineage: Eukaryota; Metazoa; Arthropoda; Copepoda; Calanoida; Temoridae.